This 335-nucleotide ribosomal RNA is filed under the name uncultured Planctomycetales bacterium. Its description in RNAcentral is "bacterial SSU rRNA". It matches the Rfam family "Bacterial small subunit ribosomal RNA", at positions 473 to 806 of the family's 1533-position model. The record is from RNAcentral. Lineage: Bacteria; Pseudomonadati; Planctomycetota; Planctomycetia; Planctomycetales.
CGAAGGCUCCAGAGGAAGCCACGGCUAACUCUGUGCCAGCAGCCGCGGUAAUACAGAGGUGGCAAGCGUUGUUCGGAAUUAUUGGGCGUAAAGGGCACGUAGGCGGCCCUGCCAGUCAGUUGUGAAAGCCUUCCGCUUAACGGAAGAACGGCAGCUGAUACUACAGGGCUAGAGUACGGGGGGGGAGAGUGGAACUUCUGGUGGAGCGGUGAAAUGCGUAGAUAUCAGAAGGAACGCCGGCGGCGAAAGCGACUCUCUGGACCGAAACUGACGCUGAGUGUGCGAAAGCUAGGGGAGCAAACGGGAUUAGAUACCCCGGUAGUCCUAGCCGUAAA